UAGCGAGAGAGAGAGAGAGAGAGAGAGAAGAAAUGUCUAAAACUUUAGUGAACACUAAUCAUUGCAUGUUGCUAUUAUUUGGAGUGUCGUGAUCGUAAAAAGAAUGACUCUUUUCCUGGGCAUGGCAUUGCAGACACGCUCCAUCGGUAUCUCUCAUCCCUCGUACGUAUGUAGACAACACUACUUACUGUUCAAUGCCUUUGUUUGUAGGGAACCUGAGUCAUAGAGAGACAUGUUACCUAAUUAAUCAUGCACACGCUUGCAGUCUCUUCUCUCUCUCCUUCCACAAUAUGACUUUGGAAAGAUAC
This 308-nucleotide long non-coding RNA is filed under the name Ricinus communis (castor bean). RNAcentral describes it as "long non-coding RNA (RCOM_LNC002177)". The record is from RNAcentral. Lineage: Eukaryota; Viridiplantae; Streptophyta; Magnoliopsida; Malpighiales; Euphorbiaceae.